GAUGAACGCUGGCGGCGUGCUUAACACAUGCAAGUCGAACGGGAAUUACUUUAUUGAAACUUCGGUCGAUUUAAUUUAAUUCUAGUGGCGGACGGGUGAGUAACGCGUGGGUAACCUGCCUUGUACAGGGGGAUAACAGUCAGAAAUGACUGCUAAUACCGCAUAAGCGCACAGGACCGCAUGGUCCGGUGUGAAAAACUCCGGUGGUAUAAGAUGGACCCGCGUUGGAUUAGCUUGUUGGUGGGGUAACGGCCCACCAAGGCGACGAUCCAUAGCCGGCCUGAGAGGGUGAACGGCCACAUUGGGACUGAGACACGGCCCAGACUCCUACGGGAGGCAGCAGUGGGGAAUAUUGCACAAUGGGGGAAACCCUGAUGCAGCGACGCCGCGUGAAGGAAGAAGUAUCUCGGUAUGUAAACUUCUAUCAGCAGGGAAGAAAAUGACGGUACCUGACUAAGAAGCC
RNAcentral lists this ribosomal RNA (463 nucleotides) under uncultured bacterium. Its description in RNAcentral is "bacterial SSU rRNA". It matches the Rfam family "Bacterial small subunit ribosomal RNA", at positions 28 to 492 of the family's 1533-position model. The record is from RNAcentral.